This 443-nucleotide ribosomal RNA is filed under the name Salmonella enterica subsp. enterica serovar Infantis. RNAcentral's name for it is "partial 23S ribosomal RNA". It matches the Rfam family "Bacterial large subunit ribosomal RNA", at positions 1292 to 1735 of the family's 2925-position model. The record is from RNAcentral. RNAcentral also lists the same sequence under 30 other names. Lineage: Bacteria; Pseudomonadati; Pseudomonadota; Gammaproteobacteria; Enterobacterales; Enterobacteriaceae.
GAAUGCUGACAUAAGUAACGAUAAAGCGGGUGAAAAGCCCGCUCGCCGGAAGACCAAGGGUUCCUGUCCAACGUUAAUCGGGGCAGGGUGAGUCGACCCCUAAGGCGAGGCCGAAAGGCGUAGUCGAUGGGAAACGGGUUAAUAUUCCCGUACUUGGUGUUACUGCGAAGGGGGGACGGAGAAGGCUAUGUUGGCCGGGCGACGGUUGUCCCGGUUUAAGCGUGUAGGUGUGUGUUCCAGGUAAAUCCGGUUCACUUUAACACUGAGGCGUGACGACGAGGCACUACGGUGCUGAAGCAACAAAUGCCCUGCUUCCAGGAAAAGCCUCUAAGCAUCAGGUAACAUCAAAUCGUACCCCAAACCGACACAGGUGGUCAGGUAGAGAAUACCAAGGCGCUUGAGAGAACUCGGGUGAAGGAACUAGGCAAAAUGGUGCCGUAACU